This 249-nucleotide ribosomal RNA is filed under the name uncultured bacterium. RNAcentral's name for it is "partial 16S ribosomal RNA". It matches the Rfam family "Bacterial small subunit ribosomal RNA", at positions 99 to 334 of the family's 1533-position model. The record is from RNAcentral.
CGGAAGGGUUAGUAAUACAUGAAUAACCUGCCUUUAACCUGGGGAUAACGGUUGGAAACGACCGCUAAUACCGAAUGAGGUCAUUUUAAGUGCGCUUAGAUUGAUCAAAGUGGGGGACCUUAGGGCCUUGCGGUUAAAGAGGGGUUCAUGUGAUAUCAGCUUGUUGGUGUGGUAAAGGCGCACCAAGGCUAAGACGUCUAGGCGAGUUGAGAGAUUGACCGCCAACAUUGGAACUGAGACACUGUCCAA